RNAcentral lists this non-coding RNA (146 nucleotides) under Pelagimonas phthalicica. RNAcentral's name for it is "FMN riboswitch aptamer (RFN element)". It matches the Rfam family "FMN riboswitch aptamer (RFN element)". From Rfam's summary of the family: The RFN element is a highly conserved domain that is found frequently in the 5'-untranslated regions of prokaryotic mRNAs that encode for flavin mononucleotide (FMN) biosynthesis and transport proteins. Lineage: Bacteria; Pseudomonadati; Pseudomonadota; Alphaproteobacteria; Rhodobacterales; Roseobacteraceae. The record is from Rfam by way of RNAcentral.
GUGCACUCUCAGGGCGGGGUGAAAUUCCCUACCGGCGGUAUGCAGUUUUCUGCGAGCCCGCGAGCGGCUUGGGCAGCCCCCAAGUGUCAGCAGAUCCGGUGAGAGGCCGGAGCCGACGGUGAAAGUCCGGAUGGAAGAGAGCGGAC